UUUUAUCUCUAAAAUUAUGGUGGCUAAAGUUGAACUGAAACUCUGGGGGCGAAAUAACAAGGUGGGGUCCGUUCCCAUAAGGCAUAGCCUUCUGGCCCCCGCCCUUCGUUAUGUUUGUCCGGUAGCAGAACGUACUGUUAAUUGUUCAGUGAGAGCCCCACACGGCAUCAGAAGUGAUAAUGUGGACAUGAGUAAAAAAUCAUAGGAUCACUCCCCCCCUGGUUUCCCAUAUUAGGUAUGGGGUUAAACAGCCCCUAAAAUUGCAGCCCCAAAGGUUGCGUUAAUGGGGGGCCAUGAGUAAUAGACGCACAAAGUGCCAGGAAAGAAUUAUUCAAGAGCCAAAGGGGCCUUGCAGGCCUUACCUGCAAGGACCCGAUGGGGACCAUCUCUCGGCGCCGCACUGUACUAAACUAACUAAAGUGGGGGAUAGUGAGGGGAUAAAUUUCCUUAAGGAACUCGGCAAAAUCCCAAUGGCCCACCAGGGCAUUUAACUUUUGUAGCAAGGUAUCAAGGUACCUUCUACGAAGGUGGGGACCUCCACCCUAACGGGUGGCGGUUCCUUGGAUUGGAACACGGGCCUCGACUGUUUACCAAAAACAUAGCCCUCGGCCAAUAUGAAAAUAGAAGUAUGGAGGGUGAGGCCUGCCCAAUGGUUGUAUCUAAAAGCGGCUGAUGAAAGUCGGUCUCGUAAGGACAAUUGAAUGGCCGCGGUAACACUGACCGUGAUAAUGUAGCGUAAUCAAUAGCCAAUUAAUUGUUGGCCAGUAUGAAUGGCGCCACGAAGGCCCCACUGUCUUAAGGAAAUUCCCAGUGAAAUUGAAUUCGUAGUGAAGAUGCUACGUCCAAUUUGUUAGACGAAAAGACCCCGUUGAGCUUUACUGGGGCACUUACACUGCCCCCGCCUGCGAGACUAGGCCAAGGCUUACCAUACCUAGGGACUGGCUGAAUUGAAAUGGGUGGCUUAGACUAUGUGGCAGCCCCCCCCGUCGGGGCAGAUGAAACCCCACUCCCCCAUGUCAAAGGGGCUAACCCCCCCCCCUUGGGGGGCACAGUGUAAGUAGGACAGUUUGGUUGGGGCGACCGCCUUUUAGAGAGUAACGAAGGUGCGCUUAAGGUGCGCAAUUAAUGACUGAAGCCUGACUGCGAGGGGGACACCCCGAGCAGACACCCCCAAGCCCGCCCGCCCAGAAGGCGAUGCAACAAGGACAGAGACUUUGUCUCUGUGCCUUUAGCCUUCUGGGAGGGCGGCGGUGGGGUGGGCCAUAGUGACCCGUUAAUUUAGAGUGGAAUAGUUAACGAUCAACGAAUAAAAGUUACCACGGGGAUAACAGCGUAAU
RNAcentral lists this ribosomal RNA (1337 nucleotides) under Zibrowius ammophilus. RNAcentral's name for it is "partial 16S large subunit ribosomal RNA". It matches the Rfam family "Bacterial large subunit ribosomal RNA", at positions 1157 to 2486 of the family's 2925-position model. The record is from RNAcentral. Lineage: Eukaryota; Metazoa; Cnidaria; Anthozoa; Zoantharia; Parazoanthidae.